AUGACUCCGGGCUGCUGCUGCUCUCUGUCCUCCUCCGCCUCUCCUUCUCCUCUGCUGCUGCUGCUGCUACCGCCUCUCUGCUGCAGCCGCCUUCCGAACUUGAAGUUGCAGUAGCUGUCGCAGACAUUUUCUCGCCAUUCUUGUCUCCCGAAUAGUCCGCCGAGGACAGGUUUUCCGUGGUGCCAUACGCCGUCUCGAAAAACUGGUCGAAAGCCUGGGGCAGGACCCCGUUCCUCCCCACCGUGCUAUAGAAAUUGGACGAGACGGUGGUGGUGGGGUGGUAGACGUUUGCUGUGUUUUUGCCGAACAUCUCGCCCAUGCUAGCCGUGUUGGUGGCAGGCAGGCAGUCUCUGUGCAUGAUCUCCUCUGCUGAGUAGCAGUGGGGCAGAUUGUUCCUGGGGUGCCAUUUACUGGCGGGGUCAAUGGCAUACUCCCUGAAGAGAACAAAAAGACGCAUGACAUUUUUUCCUACUUAUCAGUUUGACCAAUUGCACCAGGUCGCUGUGGAGUAGAAAGAAUUAGCAAUUCCCACAUGUUAGGUGCAAGAGACUUCUGACAAAUGUGGGGCGCAGGGGAUAGAUGUCC
Mauremys reevesii (Reeves's turtle) is the source of this 585-nucleotide long non-coding RNA. RefSeq lists it as uncharacterized. Lineage: Eukaryota; Metazoa; Chordata; Testudines; Geoemydidae. The transcript has 3 exons. The record is from RefSeq and is a predicted model, not a curated record.